GGGCCAGUAGUACCUUUGUUAGAGCAGUUCGCGUGCUAAAGUUCUACUUCCAAUGCGGCUGCCACAAAUGCCCUCGUGGACCUUGCGAAGCGUAUAAUCAGCUUCUGAGGGUCUAAGGCAUUUAAGUGACGACAUCAAGAAUGACUUCUUAUACAGCUGUCCGUCAAGUAGGACGUACUGUAGAGCUUGGUGUUUAACCUCUCGAGCUUCUUUCUCAUCGGCUGGGGUGGUUCCUUUGCUCAAGUAAUUCACCAGGGGGUCCAACCAGCUCAGCUCUUCAUCGAUUUGAUUGACAUCGAUUGUCUUCUCAAUGCUUGAGAUGUUCAGAUGUUCGACAUUUAUCCUUCAUCCUAG
RNAcentral lists this long non-coding RNA (354 nucleotides) under Elaeis guineensis (African oil palm). RNAcentral's name for it is "long non-coding RNA (EGUI_LNC034691)". The record is from RNAcentral. Lineage: Eukaryota; Viridiplantae; Streptophyta; Magnoliopsida; Arecales; Arecaceae.